GGGCCUUAAGCUUAAGCUGUAUGAGCGUCCGGUUCAUAACCGGGAGGUACUGGGUUCGAAUCCCUGCAGGCCCACCA
This 77-nucleotide transfer RNA is filed under the name Acinetobacter sp. WCHAc010034. Its description in RNAcentral is "tRNA-Met". It matches the Rfam family "tRNA". Rfam says of the family: Transfer RNA (tRNA) molecules are approximately 80 nucleotides in length. Their secondary structure includes four short double-helical elements and three loops (D, anti-codon, and T loops). Lineage: Bacteria; Pseudomonadati; Pseudomonadota; Gammaproteobacteria; Moraxellales; Moraxellaceae. The record is from RNAcentral.